CCCCUAGUACGGCGAGUGAGCGGGAUGAGCUCAAAUUUAAAAUCUGGCAGUCUAAGAUUGUCCGAGUUGUAGUCUAGAGAAGCGUUUUCCGCGUAGGCCUGUGUACAAGUCCCUUGGAAUAGGGCGUCAUAGAGGGUGAGAAUCCCGUCCUUGACACAGAUCAUCUAUGCUCUGCGAUGCGCUCUCGAAGAGUCGAGUUGUUUGGGAAUGCAGCUCAAAAUGGGUGGUAAAUUCCAUCUAAAGCUAAAUAUUGGCGAGAGACCGAUAGCGAACAAGUACCGUGAGGGAAAGAUGAAAAGCACUUUGGAAAGAGAGUUAAACAGUACGUGAAAUUGUUGAAAGGGAAACGAUUGAAGUCAGUCAUGUGGUUUGAGGUUCAGCCGGUUCUGCCGGUGUAUUCCUCAGACUACAGGCCAGCAUCAGUUUCGACCGGUGGAAAAAGUUGGAGGGAACGUGGCAUCCUCGGAUGUGUUAUAGCCCUCUUUCACAUGCAUCGGACGGGACUGAGGAACGCAGCGUGCCUUUAUGGUCGGUCUUCGGACACGAACGCGCUUAGGAUGCUGGCAUAAUGGCUUUAAACGACCCGUCUUACAA
Molecule: ribosomal RNA, 594 nt
Filed under: Udeniomyces sp. PDD-32b-64
Lineage: Eukaryota; Fungi; Basidiomycota; Tremellomycetes; Cystofilobasidiales; Mrakiaceae
Description: eukaryotic LSU rRNA
Rfam family: Eukaryotic large subunit ribosomal RNA
Source: RNAcentral